UACGUAGGGGGCAAGCGUUGUCCGGAAUCAUUGGGCGUAAAGAUCGUGUAGGCGGCUCGAUAAGUCUGUUGUGAAAGUCCAGGGCUCAACCCUGGAAGGCCGGUGGAAACUGUCGGGCUAGAGUCCGGAAGAGGCGAGUGGAAUUCCCGGUGUAGCGGUGAAAUGCGCAGAUAUCGGGAGGAACACCAAUUGCGAAGGCGGUCUGCUGGGCAGUUGCUGACACUGAGGCGCGACAGCGUGGGGAGCAAACAGG
RNAcentral lists this ribosomal RNA (253 nucleotides) under uncultured bacterium. RNAcentral describes it as "partial 16S ribosomal RNA". It matches the Rfam family "Bacterial small subunit ribosomal RNA", at positions 524 to 776 of the family's 1533-position model. The record is from RNAcentral.